RNAcentral lists this ribosomal RNA (468 nucleotides) under uncultured bacterium. RNAcentral describes it as "partial 16S ribosomal RNA". It matches the Rfam family "Bacterial small subunit ribosomal RNA", at positions 28 to 507 of the family's 1533-position model. The record is from RNAcentral.
GACGAACGCUGGCGGCGUGCUUAACACAUGCAAGUCGAACGGAAAGGCCCUGCUUUUGUGGCGUGCUCGAGUGGCGAACGGGUGAGUAACACGUGAGUAACCUGCCCUUGACUUUGGGAUAACUUCAGGAAACUGGGGCUAAUACCGGAUAGGAGCUCCUGCUGCAUGGUUGGGGGUGGCAAGUUUCGGCGGUUGGGGAUGGACUCGCGGCUUAUCAGCUUGUUGGUGGGGUAGUGGCUUACCAAGGCGUUGACGGGUAGCCGGCCUGAGAGGGUGACCGGCCACAUGGGGACUGAGAGACGGCCCAGACGCCUACGGGAGGCAGCAGUGGGGAAUAUUGCACAAUGGGCGGAAGCCUGAUGCAGCAACGCCGCGUGCGGGAUGACGGCCUUCGGGUUGUAAACCGCUUUCGCCGGUGACGAAGCGUGAGUGACGGUAAUGGGUAAAGAAGCACCGGCUAACUACGUG